Non-coding RNA from Paramuricea clavata, 474 nucleotides. The record is from the annotation of a GenBank genome assembly. Lineage: Eukaryota; Metazoa; Cnidaria; Anthozoa; Malacalcyonacea; Plexauridae.
AAUUCUGGACUCGUGAAUAAAUAUAUUUGAGUAAUUUGAAGCUGUUAAGAUUGUUUAUAUAUCGAGAAAGCUAUAUUAAAAUUUUAUUGACUAUUCUAGUAGUUGACAGUUCUGCAUUUUCCCACAUUUAGGAAAGUUCCUUUACUUGCACUUCUUGUUUGACUGAAAUGUUACUGUCAGAGUCAUUUACGAAACUUUUAAAGAUAUAAAUGAUGUCUAAAUAUUCGUGCCAGUAACAUAGAGGGAUGAUGCCGAGAAUCUGCAAUCUCUCCUUAAUCCUUAUAUACGAGAUAUCUGUUUGGUAUGGCAGAGAUAGGAUGAACUUAAUGGCACGAUGCUGAACACGUUCGGUGGUUAGAGUCAGGGACGAAACUUGAGGGGGGCAUGGGGGGGGGGGUGACACCCCCCAAAGUACGAAUCAUUUGGAUUGGCAGGGCGAAUCAUCUGGAUUGGCAGGGAAAUCAAAGAUUUUAA